RNAcentral lists this long non-coding RNA (403 nucleotides) under Panax ginseng (ginseng). Its description in RNAcentral is "long non-coding RNA (PGIN_LNC004202)". Lineage: Eukaryota; Viridiplantae; Streptophyta; Magnoliopsida; Apiales; Araliaceae. The record is from RNAcentral.
CCACUUUCUGUUUCUGCGAAUCUACUGGAAAUCGUUUCACCAACAUCGGGAGACCAUAUCCUUGAAUGUGCUCUGCUUUUCAAGAAAAUGAAACAUGAUGAACAGCUUGUCCUUCUUAGUGAUAAUGUCUCUCUGAAGAUAAAAGCCAUGGCAGAAGUAAGAUUUAUGUGUGUUCAUGUUUUUCUGCAUUUGCACAUUCAAAUAUGAAUCAAAAUGAAAACUUACUGAGUUUUUUUUUUCCCCAAGGGAAUGAUCUGUGAGGCAGCAGAAGAAUUCCGAGAGAGCCUGGUGAAUCCAUUUUCCGAGAGGUUUUUGUGGGCUGAAAGCUCCCCAAGAGGACUUACUUGGUCUUGUGCAGAUGACAUUGUUCUGAGGGAGAAAUAUUACCGCGGCUUGAAGCCAG